RNAcentral lists this transfer RNA (72 nucleotides) under Pelargonium nanum. RNAcentral describes it as "tRNA-Gln". It matches the Rfam family "tRNA". Rfam says of the family: Transfer RNA (tRNA) molecules are approximately 80 nucleotides in length. Their secondary structure includes four short double-helical elements and three loops (D, anti-codon, and T loops). RNAcentral also lists the same sequence under 8 other names. Lineage: Eukaryota; Viridiplantae; Streptophyta; Magnoliopsida; Geraniales; Geraniaceae. The record is from RNAcentral.
UGGGGCGUGGCCAAGUGGUAAGGCAACGGGUUUUGGACCCGAUACGCGAAGGUUCGAAUCCUUUCGUCCCAG